UUACGUUUAGUUUUGAUUGGUUUUGAUAGACCGAGACAGUUCACGCGGCCUUGGAUUGGAAAUAAUAUAAACGAAAAACAAAACAAGGCAAAACAAAACAAUUGAUGGCUGGCUGCUAAUCAACCAAGUUUAAAGAAAUGUAGUCAAAUGUAGUUUGAAAUUGUACACAGUGCCAAAGCAUCAUUCCCAGCAAUGUUGGAAUUACUUUCGCUCAAGUUUUUUCAAGAGUUUUUCUCCUUUGGCCAAUCCUUUACUAUGUUACUGCGACAAGAGAUCAGUUUGGAUUACCCCUGUUAUUGAUUGCUUGGACUGUUACUGAAGUUCUUCGCUACCUUUACUACAUCUUGAAUUUACUCUCUACUGUGCCAGCAAUUACAUUGGUACAGAUAUUCUUUUUUCAUUAUCUUGUAUCCUAUU
Molecule: long non-coding RNA, 417 nt
Organism: Daphnia pulicaria
Lineage: Eukaryota; Metazoa; Arthropoda; Branchiopoda; Diplostraca; Daphniidae
Exons: 3
Source: RefSeq, a predicted model, not a curated record